CCUACGGGAGGCAGCAGUAGGGAAUCUUCCACAAUGGGCGCAAGCCUGAUGGAGCAACGCCGCGUGGGUGAAGAAGGUCUUCGGAGCGUAAAACCCUGUUGUUAGAGAAGAAAGUGCGUGAGAGUAACUGUUCACGUUUCGACGGUAUCUAACCAGAAAGGCACGGCUAACUACGUGCCAGCAGCCGCGGUAAUACGUAGGUGGCAAGCGUUAUCCGGAUUGGUUGGACGUAAAGGGAACGCAGGCGGUCUUUUAAGUCUGAUGUGAAAGUCUUCGGCUUAACCGGAGUAGUGCAUUGGAUACUGGCAGUCUUGAGUGCAGAUGAGGAAGGUGGAACUCGAGGUGUAGCGGUGAAAUGCGUAGAUAUAUGGAAGAACACCAGUUGCGAAGGCGGCUUUCUGGUCUGUAACUGACACUGAGGUUCGAAAGUGUGGGUAGCAAACAGGAUUAGAUACCCUAGUAGUC
RNAcentral lists this ribosomal RNA (465 nucleotides) under uncultured bacterium. RNAcentral's name for it is "partial 16S ribosomal RNA". It matches the Rfam family "Bacterial small subunit ribosomal RNA", at positions 338 to 795 of the family's 1533-position model. The record is from RNAcentral.